RNAcentral lists this ribosomal RNA (478 nucleotides) under uncultured bacterium. RNAcentral's name for it is "SSU rRNA". It matches the Rfam family "Bacterial small subunit ribosomal RNA", at positions 26 to 518 of the family's 1533-position model. The record is from RNAcentral.
AGGACGAACGCUGGCGGCGUGCUUAACACAUGCAAGUCGAGCGGUGAUCCUCCUUCGGGAGGUGAUCAGCGGCGAACGGGUGAGUAACACGUGGGCAACCUGCCCCUCACACUGGGAUAACCUCGGGAAACCGGGGCUAAUACCGGAUACGACCUCGAGCGGCAUCUCUUGAGGUGGAAAGCUCCGACGGUGAGGGAUGGGCCCGCGGCCUAUCAGCUUGUUGGUGGGGUAAUGGCCUACCAAGGCGACGACGGGUAGCCGGCCUGAGAGGGCGACCGGCCACACUGGGACUGAGACACGGCCCAGACUCCUACGGGAGGCAGCAGUGGGGAAUAUUGCGCAAUGGGCGAAAGCCUGACGCAGCGACGCCGCGUGAGGGAUGAAGGCCUUCGGGUUGUAAACCGUCUUUCUAGCAGGGACGAAGCGAAAGUGACGGUACCUGCAGAAGAAGCACCGGCAACUACGCGCCAGCAGCCGC